CAUUGAUGCAUGUGCGUCCGAAGAUGACAUUGUAUGUCGUUGGGCAAUCAACCACCAAGAAGUUAUUGGUAAUGGUAGCUGUGUAAGGGCAUGUACUUAUGGUGAAAGGUAAGUGUAUGCUCCCCAAGGGUUGCAUGAUAUCACUGGAGAAGCUUAUCAGAGGGGAAAUCGAGCGAUCGAGCAAGUGUCCAGCUACAUUAAGUACCCUGAAAGCUUCAGCAAACAUGAUAUUGACCGAAGCCCCCGUGUCUACCAGGAUUCGCCAUACUUCAAAGUUGGAUAUGUGAGCUUCCACGAUCAGUAGAUCGUUGUGAGGGUAGAUGAUACCUCUUUCUUCCUCAAGGUAGAAACAUAUUGGAUCCUAGUUAGGCUUUUGAUACUUACCUCCCCUGAUGUCUUCCACGUAAAACACUUGGUGGCCAGACCUUAAAGCUCAUUCACUAUUUUUCAUGGCCAUGUUAGAAGAUUUAGAUAUGGGUGUGCCACCACUUAUGGAAUAUAUCACAUUCACCUGGAGUUGGUUACGGUUACCCCUUGGAGGGUGAAGAAGGAAUUGAUCAAUUUUUCCUUCACGUGUGAUGCGAUGAAAGUUAAGCACUCAAAUUAAACCCUCUUGUUGUCAAAUUGUAAUAUAAAUGCAAGUAGGGGUCAUUCUAAACCGGGGAUUAGGAGGGUUUGCUAAAACCUCUAAACUUACUCAAAAACAUAAAAACAAAGUUAAAAACGUUUGAAUAAACUCAAGGGACUCAAAACAUAUUCUAAAGACUUAAAACAACUUUAAAACAC
RNAcentral lists this long non-coding RNA (786 nucleotides) under Malus domestica (apple). RNAcentral describes it as "long non-coding RNA (MDOM_LNC003641)". Lineage: Eukaryota; Viridiplantae; Streptophyta; Magnoliopsida; Rosales; Rosaceae. The record is from RNAcentral.